CCUACGGGUGGCAGCAGUGGGGAAUCUUGCGCAAUGGUCUAACGACUGACGCAGCGACGCCGCGUGUGGGAGGACGCCUUUCGGGGUGUAAACCACUGUUGCCCGGGACGAAUCCGGCGUUUCGACGCCGUUGACGGUACCGGGUGAGGAAGCACCGGCUAACUCCGUGCCAGCAGCCGCGGUAAUACGGAGGGUGCGAGCGUUGUCCGGAAUCAUUGGGCGUAAAGGGCGCGUAGGUGACUUCUUAAGCGUGCGGUGAAAGCCUGGGGCUCAACCCCGGGUCGGCCGUGCGAACUGGGGGGCUUGAGCACUGUAGAGGCAGGCGGAAUUCCGGGUGUAGCGGUGGAAUGCGUAGAGAUCCGGAAGAACACCGGUGGCGAAGGCGGCCUGCUGGGCAGUUAGCUGACACUGAGGCGCGACAGCGUGGGGAGCAAACAGGA
Molecule: ribosomal RNA, 440 nt
Filed under: uncultured bacterium
Lineage: Bacteria
Description: bacterial SSU rRNA
Rfam family: Bacterial small subunit ribosomal RNA
Source: RNAcentral